GGGGCGCCUCGGAGCCGCGUGCCCUCCGCCCCGGGGUGCCCAUUGCGCAGAGCGUGGCCUGGAGACCCGCGAGCCGGGGAAGGUCGCCGUGGAGUCCCGACCAGAGGCCGGGGUUGGGGUCGGUGCAGACCGAGGGCUGGUUUCCUCGACUGUGGGAGAAACGCCGGGAGCCGGAGUGACCCGAGGAGGGACUCCGCCUCCGAGCGGCUGAGGACCCCGGUGCAGAGGAGCCUGGCUCGCAGAAUUGCAGAGUCGUCGCCCCUUUUUACAACCUGGUCCCAUUUUAUCCUGCCGUACCCAGUUUUUGGAUUUUUGUCUUCCCCUUCUUCUCUUUGCUAAACGACCCCUCCAAGAUAAUUUUUAAAAAACCUUCUCCUUUGCUCACCUUUGCUUCCCAGCCUUCCCAUCCCCCCACCGAAAGCAAAUCAUUCAACGACCCCCG
RNAcentral lists this small RNA (442 nucleotides) under Pan troglodytes (chimpanzee). RNAcentral describes it as "processed transcript". The record is from RNAcentral. Lineage: Eukaryota; Metazoa; Chordata; Mammalia; Primates; Hominidae.